RNAcentral lists this long non-coding RNA (477 nucleotides) under Homo sapiens (human). RNAcentral's name for it is "HSALNT0295941". Lineage: Eukaryota; Metazoa; Chordata; Mammalia; Primates; Hominidae. The record is from RNAcentral.
GUUUCUUGUCUCACCCUCUAGUCCACACUCUGCCUAACACUACGCCCUACCUCACAUUCCUAUUGACAUCUGCUGCAGAUCACACCCUUGUGAUGGACAAACUGCUCAGUACAGUCCCACCCACCCAGCCUCCUUGUCCUGGGCACGAGGUUUUUGCCUCCCUGAUUUGGAGUAUUUGGCCCUUACUAGAGAGCUGCCAGAUGAGAACUCAGAGGCUCCUCCCGGCUCACCUGCAUCCUCAAAUACGCCUUCUGUCCAGUCCUAAUCUCCAGCCCAUCGACCUCCGCUGGAGGAAUGGGGGCCAGUGCUGGAAGGCCUGCAUGUUGGUCACCCAGUUUGCAGUCCACGUAGAGAUGUAGGGCAGGGCUGGGUCUGGAGGGACCUCGGAGUCGCAGGAGAACUGUGUGUGUGCGCCCAUCAGCCAGGCCCGCUUGCUGUAGGUUCACGGCGUGGACUUUGCCAUCCUCCCGCUGGUAU